CUCUGAAGAGGUUAUUUCAAUGCAGUCAUCUAACUCUGUGUGUAUCACUUCUAGAAAACUUAAUAGUUUAGUCUUUAUCUUACUUGCUUUCUCUUUGGCAUUUGAACUUUCCUGAAGCUUUAUUUUCCAAUGACUUCACUGACGUAUCUCAUGUUUUGAUUUUUUCCCCCUAUUUCUUUGGGUCCUCUUCUGUUGCCCCUAGAGGCUGUGCUCGCCUUCCUCAGUAUGACCUGGGCACUAGUCUGUCUCUCUAUACCUCCCUAUGUGAAAACCACUCAAAGCUUUUAAAAAUACCCUUAUAGUGAGUUUCCAAAAUCUGUACCUUAGCCCAGGUUUCCCCCACCUCCACACCGCCCCCCGCAGACUCCAGAUCCAUUUUGUUGGGGAGGAAAAUGAGUAUCUCAUCAUCCCAUAGACAUUUCCUAGAGCACCCUCCACAUAAUGCAAUCAUAACACCUAUUUUAUUUGGUAUAUAGAGAUCAUAAAUAUUUGGUCAGUGACUUCUACUUAUACCACCAUUCCAAUUUUCAGCAUCAUAUUUGAUACAUUUCCAGUUUGAGGAAGAGGUAUAUAAUUGAAUAUUUCUAAGUCUAUAUUCAUAUAUUCUUUAAGAAAAUAUAACAUUAGUACUGUAUUAGUAAGUUUUUAAAAGGUAUGCAUGUAUCUAAGACCAAAAAUUAAAAUACUGCAACCCUUAAAUCUUGAUCUGUUAAUGUCACUCUUAUUU
RNAcentral lists this long non-coding RNA (727 nucleotides) under Bos taurus (domestic cattle). RNAcentral's name for it is "long non-coding RNA NONBTAT019580". The record is from RNAcentral. Lineage: Eukaryota; Metazoa; Chordata; Mammalia; Artiodactyla; Bovidae.